GGUAACAGGGGUAGCUUGCUACCCGCUGACGAGCGGCGGACGGGUGAGUAAUGCUUAGGAAUCUGCCCAGUAGUGGGGGACAACAAUCGGAAACGGUUGCUAAUACCGCAUACGCCCUAAGGGGGAAAGCAGGGGAUCUUCGGACCUUGCGCUAUUGGAUGAGCCUAAGUCGGAUUAGCUAGUUGGUGGGGUAAUGGCCCACCAAGGCGACGAUCCGUAGCUGGUCUGAGAGGAUGAUCAGCCACAUCGGGACUGAGACACGGCCCGAACUCCUACGGGAGGCAGCAGUGGGGAAUAUUGGACAAUGGGGGCAACCCUGAUCCAGCCAUGCCGCGUGUGUGAAGAAGGCUUUCGGGUUGUAAAGCACUUUCAGUGAGGAGGUAGGUCAAGUCGCUAAUAUCGGCUUGGAUUGACGUUACUCACAGAAGAAGCACCGGCUAACUCCGUGCCAGCAGCCGCGGUAAUACGGAGGGUGCAAGCGUUAAUCGGAAUUACUGGGCGUAAAGCGCGCGUAGGUGGUUUGUUAAGCGAGAUGUGAAAGCCCCGGGCUUAACCUGGGAACGGCAUUUCGAACUGGCAGGCUAGAGUGUGGUAGAGGGUAGUGGAAUUUCCUGUGUAGCGGUGAAAUGCGUAGAUAUAGGAAGGAACACCAGUGGCGAA
RNAcentral lists this ribosomal RNA (660 nucleotides) under uncultured Marinobacter sp. Its description in RNAcentral is "bacterial SSU rRNA". It matches the Rfam family "Bacterial small subunit ribosomal RNA", at positions 68 to 719 of the family's 1533-position model. Lineage: Bacteria; Pseudomonadati; Pseudomonadota; Gammaproteobacteria; Pseudomonadales; Marinobacteraceae. The record is from RNAcentral.